GACGAACGCUGGCGGCAUGCCUAAUACAUGCAAGUCGAGCGAACAGAUGAAGUGCUUGCACUUCUGACGUUAGCGGCGAACGGGUGAGUAACACGUAAGGAAUCUACCUAUAAGCGGGGGAUAACAUUCGGAAACGGGUGCUAAUACCGCAUAAUAUCUUCUCCCGCAUGGAAGAAGAUUGAAAGACGGCUCUGCUGUCACUUAUAGAUGACCUUGCGGUGCAUUAGUUAGUUGGUGGGGUAAUGGCCUACCAAGACGAUGAUGCAUAGCCGACAUGAGAAGGUGGUCGGCCACAUUGGGACUGAGACACGGCCCAAACUCCUACGUGAGGAAGCAGUAGGGAAUCUUCCGCAAUGGGCGAAAGCCUGACGGAGCAAUGCCGCGUGAGUGAAGAAGGCCUUCGGGUCGUAAAACUCUGUUAUAAGAGAAGAACAAAUUGUAGAGUAACUGCUACAGUCUUGACGGUAUCUUAUCAGAAAGCCACGGCUAACUACGUGCCAGCCGCCGCCGUAA
RNAcentral lists this ribosomal RNA (513 nucleotides) under uncultured bacterium. Its description in RNAcentral is "partial 16S ribosomal RNA". It matches the Rfam family "Bacterial small subunit ribosomal RNA", at positions 28 to 523 of the family's 1533-position model. The record is from RNAcentral.